RNAcentral lists this ribosomal RNA (253 nucleotides) under uncultured bacterium. RNAcentral's name for it is "partial 16S ribosomal RNA". It matches the Rfam family "Bacterial small subunit ribosomal RNA", at positions 524 to 776 of the family's 1533-position model. The record is from RNAcentral.
UACGAAGGGGGCUAGCGUUGUUCGGAUUUAUUGGGCGUAAAGCGCGUGUAGGCGGUCUUUUAAGUCUGAUGUGAAAGCCCCGGGCUCAACCUGGGAAGUGCAUUGGAUACUGGGAGACUUGAGUACGGGAGAGGGUAGUGGAAUUCCCAGUGUAGGGGUGAAAUCCGUAGAUAUUGGGAGGAACACCGGUGGCGAAGGCGGCUACCUGGACCGAUACUGACGCUGAGACGCGAAAGCGUGGGGAGCAAACAGG